GCUGGGCGUGGUGGCUCACGCCUGUAAUCCCAGCAUUUUGGGAGGCUGAGGCAAGCGGAUCACCUGAGGUCAGGAGUUCGAGACCAGCCUGGCCAACAUGGUGAAACCCUGUCUCUA
Molecule: non-coding RNA, 117 nt
Filed under: Nomascus leucogenys (northern white-cheeked gibbon)
Lineage: Eukaryota; Metazoa; Chordata; Mammalia; Primates; Hylobatidae
Source: Rfam by way of RNAcentral